CAAGCGGACCUCAUAAAGUAUGUCGUAGUCCGGAUUGGAGUCUGCAACUCGACUCCAUGAAGUCGGAAUCGCUAGUAAUCGUAGAUCAGAAUGCUACGGUGAAUACGUUCCCGGGCCUUGUACACACCGCCCGUCACACCAUGGGAGUGGGUUGCAAAAGAAGUAGGUAGCUUAACCUUCGGGAGGGCGCUUACCACUUUGUGAUUCAUGACUGGGGUGAAGUCGUAACAAGGUAACCGUAGGGGAACCUGCGGUUGGAUCACCUCCUU
RNAcentral lists this ribosomal RNA (269 nucleotides) under Klebsiella pneumoniae. RNAcentral describes it as "partial 16S ribosomal RNA". It matches the Rfam family "Bacterial small subunit ribosomal RNA", at positions 1264 to 1532 of the family's 1533-position model. The record is from RNAcentral. Lineage: Bacteria; Pseudomonadati; Pseudomonadota; Gammaproteobacteria; Enterobacterales; Enterobacteriaceae.